Molecule: long non-coding RNA, 2553 nt
Filed under: Equus caballus (horse)
Lineage: Eukaryota; Metazoa; Chordata; Mammalia; Perissodactyla; Equidae
Description: lncRNA (ENSECAG00000049888.1)
Source: RNAcentral
UUCAGCAUGGCUUAGUCAGCUAGGGCUCUUCAGGCCUGUGGGUCCACGGCUCAGAUGAACCACCUGGAUACGUUCCCGUGUGGAGCAUCCCCACCGGCUGAAAUGUGAUGAGUUACUGUUGCUACACAGGUGGCGACAGUCAGUUCCCACUUGUUCGUGCUGCUGAUGGGAACUGGGGCCUGUACAGGAACCACGGCUCCCACGUGUCUCUCAUUCCAGGACACUCUGGUCUCACCGAGCGAGGCUUCAGAGUUCUCGCGGUAUCUCGCUUUAAGGUGACUAGCCGCCUUAGUUCAGAACGGUGCCGUCCUGCGCAUUUGCAGAUGCUUCGUUUCACCCAAGAGCCUGCAAUGGUGACCUGGCCUCUUCUGACUCAGGUCCUGUCAGGGUACAAGGUCCAGGCUGGCCUAUAUUCCCCCUUGUUCCAGAGGGCUGUGAGGAACCCGGACGCACAGUUCACUCUCCCGCACCUGACCCAGCAGCCAGGACCUUCAGCAAGCAGGCCUCCCGGGUACCUCUUAUCGGAGGAGAGCUCCGCCCCACCCAGCUGUGCCAAGAUUUUCAAGUUUCCCCUGGAUCUGCCAGGGGAAACUUUUGGGAGGAAUAGACUGCACUGGUUAGGUUCCAGCUUGGAAUUAGACGCCCAGGUUCCCCAAGAGCCCGUGUCAGUGAUCCUGCCUCUCACCACCUUUGAACUCUUCCAGAUGCCUGGCUACGUUGAACGCGCAGCGCAUAGCAUGUGCAUGCGCAGUACGAGCCCACUCAGGAGGCCUUGGGCAGCUGGGGCCCUCCAGGCUUAUGGGGCCAUGGACGGACCUCACCAUCGGGAUGUUCUCCUGGGUGGAGGAGAACCCUCUGCAGUACUCUCUGGUUCUGCGGCUGCAGAGGCAUACCUGCGUGGCGUGGCGUGCCCCCUCUUCUUGGGAACUAAGUUUAGGAGCAGCAGAUACCUGUUCGCCUUUACUCCUUGAGUGCAGCCCCUUGAGGUUCCUCCCGUAAGAUAAGGCGUUUUCGUGCCUCUUGGCUGCCAGGCCAAAAGCCUGGGGAUUGUCAGAAGUGACGCUUGGUCCCUCAUCCUCUCAGUUCUGCCUCCUGGAAUUGACAACUAACCUGGGGUGAAGCAAACCCAAAUGCGUGGCUACUUCUCUGAUCUUUAUCUUCCCCUGGAUCCUACCUGAGAUGAUGCAAGUAACUAGCUGAGUAACUGCCUGAAUGAGUCAGAAUAUUGAACGCACGCCCUCAGGAAUUGGAUGAAGCCCACCUGCAUUUGUGAGGAUGGAUCUUCUUUACUCAGUCUGCUGAUUCAAAUGCUAAUCUCUCCUGGAGACACCCUCACAGACACACCCAAAAAUAAUAUUUUACCAGCUAUCUGGGCAUCCCUUAGCCUAGUCAAGUUGACACAUAAAAUUAACCAAUACAGCCAAUGACUGGAAAAUGUUAGUUACUGGCAUCAUAACUUCUUCUUGAGAGAUUGAUCUUAUCAGUGGAAAAAUUCUACAAAUUGCAAAAGAGGACUACACAAGCAAGCCUAACCCAGAGCUGAAAUCUCAGACUUUGGUGUAUGUAAUUCCACGUAAGCAUAGACGGGGAAAGAGAUGAUGUUUCCUGUGCACUCCCAGUUCAGGGCAUUGCUUCUAGUUCCAUUCUUUCCCCAGUGGAAAUUCCAGGACAGUGGGAGCAGGACAUGAUGCAAGCAGGAAGUUAUGAAAAAAGUAACUUGAUGAUUUAGUGGGAUUUUCAGAUCAACUGGCAGAUCCAGAUAUGAAAAAUGGAAAUCCAGACCAUAAAAGACAUGACUUUUCAUAAUUCACCUUGGUUUCUCAUUCUAGUUCCAAAAAUGGGAGUGAACUUGCAGAUCCCAGGUUUUUACUACCAGGUAUUAGCCAGCUGAUAUUUUCUGUAGUGUCAGACCAAUGGGCUAAAUAUUUCAUUCAAGUCAAUUUUGCUGUGUGCAUGUCAGUCAGUCUUUUUUAAGAAUUAAUACAAACUGCACAGUGCAAAGAAAAAAAUGCCUUUAGGUGAAUUUGGCAGGAAAUAAUAUAGUUGAAAAGUAAACCAGAAGAUUCAUUUAGUCAAUUAAUAACACAUGUUUAUAAUGCAUUUACUCUCUACUGUUCUAGAAGACCAGAAUACUGAACAACAGUGAACAAGACUGGUUUCCUUUGAUGAAGUUACGACAUAGAGGAGGGAGAUAAAUAAUAAAGUAAGCAAAUAAUUACAGGAAAAUGUCUAAUAAUGAUACAUACUAUGAAAACAACUCCUUUCUAAUAUGCAGUAGAGUAGAGAGUAGUGAGGGAACAAGAAUGGGCAGUUUGGGAAAGGCCUCUCUGAAGAGGCUACCUUUGAACUGAAACCUGAAGGAUGGAAAAGUACCAGCCAGCCAAAGAUUCAGAGAAAGAACAUUCCAGCCAGAAGGAAUGUGUGUGCAAAGGUCCUAAAUGGGAAUAAACUCAGCAUUUUUAGGGAACACACACAGAAAAAGGGCAGCAACUGGAGAACAAAGAUGAAGAUGGAGAGCUCUGAAAUGAGAUAACGUGUUCCUUAAGAGCAGGG